CCUACGGGGGGCUGCAGUGGGGAAUAUUGGACAAUGGGGGGAACCCUGAUCCAGCCAUGCCGCGUGUGUGAAGAAGGCCCUCGGGUUGUAAAGCACUUUCAGUGAGGAAGAACGCCUGGUGGUUAAUACCCAUCAGGAAAGACAUCACUCACAGAAGAAGCACCGGCUAACUCCGUGCCAGCAGCCGCGGUAAUACGGAGGGUGCGAGCGUUAAUCGGAAUUACUGGGCGUAAAGCGCGCGUAGGUGGCUUGAUAAGCCGGUUGUGAAAGCCCCGGGCUCAACCUGGGAACGGCAUCCGGAACUGUCAAGCUAGAGUGCAGGAGAGGAAGGUAGAAUUCCCGGUGUAGCGGUGAAAUGCGUAGAGAUCGGGAGGAAUACCAGUGGCGAAGGCGGCCUUCUGGACUGACACUGACACUGAGGUGCGAAAGCGUGGGUAGCAAACAGGAUUAGUACCCCAGUAGUC
This 464-nucleotide ribosomal RNA is filed under the name Vreelandella stevensii. RNAcentral's name for it is "partial 16S ribosomal RNA". It matches the Rfam family "Bacterial small subunit ribosomal RNA", at positions 338 to 795 of the family's 1533-position model. Lineage: Bacteria; Pseudomonadati; Pseudomonadota; Gammaproteobacteria; Oceanospirillales; Halomonadaceae. The record is from RNAcentral.